This 793-nucleotide ribosomal RNA is filed under the name uncultured archaeon. Its description in RNAcentral is "bacterial SSU rRNA". It matches the Rfam family "Archaeal small subunit ribosomal RNA", at positions 85 to 879 of the family's 1478-position model. The record is from RNAcentral.
ACUGCUCAGUAACACGUGGACAACCUGCCCUUAGGUUGGGUAUAAACCCGGGAAACUGGGUAUAAUACCCGAUAGGUCUCGAUUGCUGGAAUGCAUCGAGAUUUAAAGCUCCGGCGCCUAAGGAUGGGUCUGCGGCCUAUCAGGUAGUAGUGGGUGUAGCGUACCUACUAGCCUACGACGGGUACGGGUUGUGAGAGCAAGAGCCCGGAGGUGGAUUCUGAGACACGAAUCCAGGCCCUACGGGGUGCAGCAGGCGCGAAAACAUUACAAUGCUGGCAACAGCGAUAAGGGAACCUCGAGUGCCAGGUUACAAAUCUGGCUGUCGAGAUGCCUAAAAAGCAUUUCAUAGCAAGGGCCGGGCAAGACCGGUGCCAGCCGCCGCGGUAACACCGGCGGCUCGAGUGGUAACCGUUAUUAUUGGGUCUAAAGGGUCUGUAGCCGGCCGGAUAAGUCUCUUGAGAAAUCUGGCAGCUUAACUGUCAGGCUUUCAGGAGAUACUGUCUGGCUCGAGGCCGGGAGAGGUGAGAGGUACUUCAGGGGUAGGGGUGAAAUCUUGUAAUCCUUGAAGGACCACCAGUGGCGAAGGCGUCUCACCAGAACGGACCUGACGGCAAGGGACGAAAGCUAGGGGCACGAACCGGAUUAGAUACCCGGGUAGUCCUAGCCGUAAACGAUACUCGCUAGGUGUCGGCCACGGUGCGACCGUUGUCGGUGCCGUAGGGAAGCCGUGAAGCGAGCCACCUGGGAAGUACGGCCGCAAGGCUGAAACUUAAAGGAAUUGGCGGGGGAGCAC